Non-coding RNA from Parelaphostrongylus tenuis, 74 nucleotides. The record is from the annotation of a GenBank genome assembly. NCBI's taxonomy places the organism in Eukaryota, Metazoa, Nematoda, Chromadorea, Rhabditida, Metastrongylidae.
GCGUCGGUAGUGCAAUGGUCAGCAUACGCUCCCGGAGGAAAGAGUGAGAAUGGGUUCGAAUCCCGUCUGACGCA